Long non-coding RNA from Zalophus californianus (California sea lion), 664 nucleotides. RefSeq lists it as uncharacterized. The transcript has 3 exons. The record is from RefSeq and is a predicted model, not a curated record. Lineage: Eukaryota; Metazoa; Chordata; Mammalia; Carnivora; Otariidae.
GUCCGGGCGCCGCCGGGGAGCCCCAGAAGGGGGUCGCCGGAGAAGGAAGAGUGAUUGGCCCAGGAGAUACCCUGCCUCCCACUUGAACUCCUUGCCCUAAAAGAAGGGAAGCAAAACUCCUGAUGGAGAAAAAAAAUUCUGCUGGAGACAGAAUUUUACGUACUGGAGGCCUCACAAUGGACCCAGACCAGUUUACGUCAGAUCAACUCCAACGCUGGACCCAGUCUGGAAAAAGAAAUACUCAAAGAAAGCUGGAGAGCUCACAGUGCAAAAGCUGCAGAGCUCAGAUCUGAGAGGAACUUUCUGCACCCUCAAAGAAAGAAGUGGGCACAGUGGGCUCGGCAGGUGCCUUUGCCCGAUUGCUCCCCGAGAACCGUCAAAGGUCUCCUUUGGAUCCAGUUUCUGACACCAUGACUUUUAAAAGACAAGCUGAGGCAUAUUAAAACUUUGAAGAGUUUGAGAGAUGCUGUGUUGAGAAUUGAACAUAGAUUCGAAUCAGGCAGUGCCAAACCAAAAGUGGUUAGGGGCACUCUGCGAACAGGAGUUGGGGAAAAGGCUUUUACAGAGCAGAUGCAGAAGCAAAGCAAGGGUAUUAUUUGGCCACAGCUUAAGAGGUUGCCUCAUUUAAGAAAGCCUAGUUGGUUGGGGCGCCUGGGUGGCUCAG